This 278-nucleotide long non-coding RNA is filed under the name Lathyrus oleraceus (garden pea). RNAcentral describes it as "Pisum sativum (pea) long non-coding RNA (PSAT_LNC034569)". The record is from RNAcentral. Lineage: Eukaryota; Viridiplantae; Streptophyta; Magnoliopsida; Fabales; Fabaceae.
UCAUCCUUGAUACGUUUACCCUAACCGGUAACGGAUGUCCCUCUAUCAGAGUAUAUUACCUCCCUACCCAGUAAUCGAUAAUAGAUAAUAUCGGGUACUCUUGUGUUGAAGAUUAUUCUUCCCUAGUUGAGUUUGAGUGCGUAUUUCCUUAGUGGAAUCGCAUUUUUCCUGUUUGGUCCGAGUAUUUCAGCCUCGUUCUGAUUUACCCGUUUCCCCUGCAGAUUUUCCCUCAUCCCAGACUGGGUUCUUCCAUUGAUUUAUUUUCAUAGAAAUUCCCC